GAAAUGCGAUAAGUAAUGUGAAUUGCAGAAUUCAGUGAAUCAUCGAAUCUUUGAACGCACAUUGCGCCCCCUGGUAUUCCGGGGGGCACGCCUGUUCGAGCGCCAUUUCAACCCUCAAGCCUGGCUUGGUGAUGGGCCUCCGCCGCACGGCGGGCCCGAAACGCGUAGGGCGCCGCGGUGGUUUGGGCUCUGAGCGUAGCAAGAGUGAACCUCCCUCGCUCCGGAGACCCCUUCCGCGGCCGCCUGGACGACCCCACGAACUUUCGUAAGGUUGGCCUCGGAUCAGGCGGGGAUACCCGCUGAACUUAA
This 309-nucleotide unclassified non-coding RNA is filed under the name uncultured Venturiaceae. RNAcentral describes it as "sequence contains ITS1". The stretch from base 1 to 105 matches the Rfam family "5.8S ribosomal RNA", at positions 50 to 154 of the family's 154-position model. The record is from RNAcentral. Lineage: Eukaryota; Fungi; Ascomycota; Dothideomycetes; Venturiales; Venturiaceae.